This 22-nucleotide non-coding RNA is filed under the name Arabidopsis thaliana (thale cress). The record is from RNAcentral. Lineage: Eukaryota; Viridiplantae; Streptophyta; Magnoliopsida; Brassicales; Brassicaceae.
CUGACAGCCCAACUCUUGUAUC